UACGGGAGGCAGCAGUGGGGAAUAUUGCACAAUGGGCGCAAGCCUGAUGCAGCCAUGCCGCGUGUAUGAAGAAGGCCUUCGGGUUGUAAAGUACUUUCAGCAGUGAGGAAGGUGGGUAUGUUAAUAGCAUAUUCAUUUGACGUUAGCUGCAGAAGAAGCACCGGCUAACUCCGUGCCAGCAGCCGCGGUAAUACGGAGGGUGCGAGCGUUAAUCGGAAUUACUGGGCGUAAAGCGCAUGCAGGUGGUUUGUUAAGUCAGAUGUGAAAGCCCGGGGCUCAACCUCGGAAUUGCAUUUGAAACUGGCAAACUAGAGUACUGUAGAGGGGGUAGAAUUUCAGGUGUAGCGGUGAAAUGCGUAGAGAUCUGAAGGAAUACCGGUGGCGAAGGCGGCCCCCUGGACAGAUACUGACACUCAGAUGCGAAAGCGUGGGGAGCAAACAGGAUUAGAUACCCUGAGAG
Molecule: ribosomal RNA, 460 nt
Filed under: uncultured bacterium
Lineage: Bacteria
Description: bacterial SSU rRNA
Rfam family: Bacterial small subunit ribosomal RNA
Source: RNAcentral